CGGCGGACGGGUGAGUAACACGUGGGUAACCUACCUAUAAGACUGGGACAACUUCGGGAAACCGGAGCUAAUACCGGAUAAUAUGUUGAACCGCAUGGUUCAAUAGUGAAAGAUGGUUUUGCUAUCACUUAUAGAUGGACCUGCGCCGUAUUAGCUAGUUGGUGAGGUAACGGCUCACCAAGGCAACGAUACGUAGCCGACCUGAGAGGGUGAUCGGCCACACCGGAACUGAGACACGGUCCAG
RNAcentral lists this ribosomal RNA (244 nucleotides) under uncultured Staphylococcus sp. RNAcentral describes it as "partial 16S ribosomal RNA". It matches the Rfam family "Bacterial small subunit ribosomal RNA", at positions 96 to 334 of the family's 1533-position model. The record is from RNAcentral. Lineage: Bacteria; Bacillati; Bacillota; Bacilli; Caryophanales; Staphylococcaceae.